This 465-nucleotide ribosomal RNA is filed under the name uncultured Sulfuritalea sp. RNAcentral's name for it is "bacterial SSU rRNA". It matches the Rfam family "Bacterial small subunit ribosomal RNA", at positions 338 to 795 of the family's 1533-position model. Lineage: Bacteria; Pseudomonadati; Pseudomonadota; Betaproteobacteria; Nitrosomonadales; Sterolibacteriaceae. The record is from RNAcentral.
CCUACGGGGGGCAGCAGUGGGGAAUUUUGGACAAUGGGGGCAACCCUGAUCCAGCCAUUCCGCGUGAGUGAAGAAGGCCUUCGGGUUGUAAAGCUCUUUCAGCAGGAACGAAACGGUGGUCCCUAAUACGGGCUGCUAAUGACGGUACCUGAAGAAGAAGCACCGGCUAACUACGUGCCAGCAGCCGCGGUAAUACGUAGGGUGCGAGCGUUAAUCGGAAUUACUGGGCGUAAAGCGUGCGCAGGCGGUUAUAUAAGACAGAUGUGAAAUCCCCGGGCUUAACCUGGGAACUGCGUUUGUGACUGUAUAACUCGAGUGUGGCAGAGGGGGGUGGAAUUCCACGUGUAGCAGUGAAAUGCGUAGAGAUGUGGAGGAACACCGAUGGCGAAGGCAGCCCCCUGGGUCAACACUGACGCUCAUGCACGAAAGCGUGGGGAGCAAACAGGAUUAGAUACCCGAGUAGUC